UNUGACUUGAGUGCAGAAGGGGAGAGUGGAAUUCCAUGUGUAGCGGUGAAAUGCGUAGAUAUAUGGAGGAACACCAGUGGCGAAAGCGGCUCUCUGGUCUGUCACUGACGCUGAGGCUCGAAAGCGUGGGUAGCGAACAGGAUUAGAUACCCUGGUAGUNCACGCCGUAAACGAUGAGUGCUAGGUGUUAGGCCCUUUCCGGGGCUUAGUGCCGGAGCUAACGCAAUAAGCACUCCGCCUGGGGAGUACGACCGCAAGGUUGAAACUCAAAGGAAUUGACGGAGGCCCGCACAAGCGGUGGAGCAUGUGGUUUAAUUCGAAGCAACGCGAAGAACCUUACCAGGUCUUGACAUCCCGAUGCUAUUCUUAGAGAUAGGAAGUUACUUCGGUACAUCGGAGACAGGUGGUGCAUGGUUGUCGUCAGCUCGUGUCGUGAGAUGUUGGGUUAAGUCCCGCAACGAGCGCAACCCUUAUUGUUAGUUGCCAUCAUUAAGUUGGGCACUCUAGCGAGACUGCCGGUAAUAAACCGGAGGAAGGUGGGGAUGACGUCAAAUCAUCAUGCCCCUUAUGACCUGGGCUACACACGUGCUACAAUGGUCGGUACAACGAGUUGCGAGCCGGUGACGGCAAGCUAAUCUCUGAAAGCCGAUCUCAGUUCGGAUUGGAGGCUGCAACUCGCCUCCAUGAAGUCGGAAUCGCUAGUAAUCGCGGAUCAGCACGCCGCGGUGAAUACGUUCCCGGGCCUUGUACACACCGCCCGUCACACCACGAGAGUUUGUAACACCCGAAGUCG
RNAcentral lists this ribosomal RNA (793 nucleotides) under uncultured bacterium. RNAcentral describes it as "bacterial SSU rRNA". It matches the Rfam family "Bacterial small subunit ribosomal RNA", at positions 636 to 1429 of the family's 1533-position model. The record is from RNAcentral.